RNAcentral lists this ribosomal RNA (259 nucleotides) under uncultured Streptococcaceae bacterium. RNAcentral describes it as "partial 16S ribosomal RNA". It matches the Rfam family "Bacterial small subunit ribosomal RNA", at positions 524 to 783 of the family's 1533-position model. Lineage: Bacteria; Bacillati; Bacillota; Bacilli; Lactobacillales; Streptococcaceae. The record is from RNAcentral.
UACGUAGGUCCCGAGCGUUAUCCGGAUUUAUUGGGCGUAAAGCGAGCGCAGGCGGUUAGAUAAGUCUGAAGUUAAAGGCUGUGGCUUAACCAUAGUACGCUUUGGAAACUGUUUAACCCGAGUGCAGAAGGGGAGAGUGGAAUUCCAUGUGUAGCGGUGAAAUGCGUAGAUAUAUGGAGGAACACCGGUGGCGAAAGCGGCUCUCUGGUCUGUAACUGACGCUGAGGCUCGAAAGCGUGGGGAGCAAACAGGAUUAGAU